This 206-nucleotide long non-coding RNA is filed under the name Gossypium raimondii (Peruvian cotton). RNAcentral describes it as "long non-coding RNA (GRAI_LNC009106)". Lineage: Eukaryota; Viridiplantae; Streptophyta; Magnoliopsida; Malvales; Malvaceae. The record is from RNAcentral.
AAAAAUAAACAAAAGAAUGGCGGUUUACAUAUUACAGUGAAGUCUGAAUUGAAGCCAUGCUUAGGCAUAUGUCUUUUUCUUUUUUACACCACUUUUCAAAUUAAUUUAGUAUUUAAUUCUGCUUUCAGUCCCUGUGUUCUACACAUAAUUAAUAUUUAGUUCUUUUUUUUUUUUUAAAUCUCAGAAAUUUACUUAUUAUUUUUCUA